CGCUUCUUCGAGAAGACAAUGGACUAGAGCGAGCGAAGUAGCGAGUGGGUCAGCGCACGUAGUGCUGUCGGAUCGGUACUUCGGCUCGCGGCGGCAGGACCGGCGGUAGCACCGCGACGAGAACCAGAGGCGGCACGCCCCGCUACUGCGGACGUCCAGCGGCCUCAGCCGCCGAGUCCUGGCGCGCGCCCGUUUGGGAGAGUUUUAGCGCCGGAAGAAGAGGUAGGACCAAACGCCCCGCUACCCGACGAGGGACGGGCACGACCCCGCCGCGCACGGGCGCGAGGCCGGGCUUCCGCUGCAGAAGAAGGACCAGUUCCGAAAGCGCCGCCCCCAGUAGGAGCGUUGCCCCAAGUAGGUGUAGGAGGGACUACGCAAGCUGUUGGAGUGCAGCCUGACGGACGGAAGACUGCCCGGCACCUUCCUGAAGGUCAAGGGCAAGCGGCCCAAUCCUCGGUACCAACCGCGGUAGCCGUGCGAGCAGCAGCUGUGGCAGCGGUGCCCCAUGAAGUGCGCGCGGGUGAACUUGUUCCUGCCUCGGUUGCGCCGCUAUUCAUCGUUGCGGCGGCCGCACCUGCUCCUCUUUGUCCGACGACGGCUCCUUCGCGCGGUAGUGCUGCCGCUCCUCGUGCUGCAUGUGCACGUGUGCGUGCGCUGCGUGCCUGUGCGGGUGCCCAGCCGCCGCGAGCACCGUCGGCAACCGCCCCGUCUACUGCUUUUCCUGUGCUAGGCCGUAGCGCAUUAGAGAGUCCAUGAACUCAACCCAUAACACCACGUGAGCCACUAGUAGCCGUAGAGGGAGCCGCGCAGAGUCUUGGGACUUUGUUAGUUUGGAGAACACCGGCGGAACUCGAAGGUGGUCUACAAGCUCCCUUACCCGGAACCACCGACGUAUCAGGUCCAUAUUGGUAUAUGCAAUACUCCAAACAGUGUCAAAAACUCUUAAAUAGUCAUAGAGAUGAAGAGAUAGGGAUAGAAGAGAUAGAAAUAGAGAUAGAUAUAGAUAGAGAUAGAGAUGAUUAAUAGAGGUAAAGAUGAUUAGAGAUAAAUAAUUUUGAUUGCAUACCAACGGCAAAGUGGGAGAGGAAGCAGGUUGCGCCUCAACGUGACAAUAACAACGCUACGUGUACGUACCAAACAUAUCAAUCCUAAUACCCUUAACAGUGUCAAAAAAAUCUUGAACAAUGUUUUUCUGGUACGUACGUACAUCUGUUUUAUAGACGACCAUUAUGGUUUAAUAUAUAGAACUGGUUUUGGUUCGUAACGAACUGGACACUGAGCACCUCACGUACAAUACGUUUCCACGAUGAUGAACUGAACGAACGGAUAAAAAGGUCCUUUAUUUAUUUUUUACUACCGAUAUGUACGGAUUGCCCUUGAAACGUACAUACCAGAGGUAGUCUUCACCGGGUAGAUUUAUUUGUGAUCGAUCAUGAAGACGAAGCCUUUCCCCUCUUAAGAUACUACGAGGAGGCACAUAUUUCAAGAUCUCUUGGUAUAUAUUUAUAGACCUCUUAUAUACAGACCAUUAAAAUGUUGCUACAGAUCAAUAGUACCCUCUCUUCUUUCAUGUCGACUCGUGAAGCCCAACGGACCUCUUGUUUCGUUUAAUUAGGUUCCCUUAGAGGACGAUCAAAAGUGGGCGAGAGAAAUUGGUAAUUAUAGGAGUGUUAUGGGUGCCAAUAAUCGUAAUAAAACAGUCAUUAGACCAUGCUGCCUUAAAUCAGGACUAAUCAAAGACUCCUACUACGUCCGUUUCAAGUUCCGAUCCAGGUAGCACUAGUACUAGGAGAAGAAGACGAACUGUUGCGGCCACCCUUAGGAGUAACCGAAACCGUAUAGUGCCCACAUGUUGUUCUUGUCGGGCUGCCGCGACCACCACCUCCCGUCGGAGUUGAGGCACCGUCGCCCCUAGGAGUAGAUGUACCGGGAGCAGCUGGAGGAGCGGCGCCUGAAGUACUUGGGGUUCCACGUCUCGUCCCCCUUCGACGUCGAACCGUAGUUGCAGAGGUACGACCAACCACGUCCGGAGUACAGGUACGAGCGGUUUACCCGGAUCAGCGUUCGCAUGUUGUACUUUGUCAAAACGAGGUACAGUAUACAUGUCUGCAUGGAGAUAACCCAGCAGCUCAAACUUUGCUAUAUUAGAGGGUUUGAUCCAUUACGGUUGGGUCAUCGCACAGACUUCUUUUGGACAAAACCUGGCUUUCAAACCCUCCACGUCUUUCGCACUCACAAAUAGCGUUCCCUACAGCUGUAAUACAGCGGUCGAAACUGUUCAGAAAGUUGGUUUUGACUACCUUUCUUUAAUAAGUGUAUCUACUAAGGUAUAGGCGGUUUUGUUUUACUCAUAUAAUAACUGAAACUGGCUCUUGGUUCUUGGUUCACGUUUGAUUGGACCCGCACUCUCAACUCUUUGAUCUACUACGGGGCGCGCAACGCCGCCCUAAAACAUACUUUAUUUUUGACGCAACUUAAUUGGUAAAUCGAUAACAGAAAUAUCGAAGAGGACUUCACUCUGUUAAACAAAUAGUCAUAAAAUGUUUAUUUAUUCAUUUAUUUAUAAAGAUAGAUAUUAAGUUUCAAUUUGGUUUUGUUUUAUUUUAUACGCACGUGCUGAGUGAAAAGAAAGUAUAUCUCGUGAGUGAUACUCCGAUACUCGACGUACGUACAUACGUACGUACGCAGACGUAAAAAAGGAACUCAUUUUAAAAAUAUCCGCCCUCAAUGACGUACGUUGUACACCAUCGGCGUCAUCGAGAAUCAUACAACUAGGCUGCCUAUAAUAAGUAACUAGAUCAUAUAGGUUCCCGAUCUUAUUAAACCCACUACACCGAGUUCCUCUUCGAUCUAUUAAGGAUCAUCACCCCCGAUCGAUAAAUCUAUAUCAUCUAAGCGUUCCUAUGGG
Molecule: ribosomal RNA, 2908 nt
Filed under: Triticum aestivum (bread wheat)
Lineage: Eukaryota; Viridiplantae; Streptophyta; Magnoliopsida; Poales; Poaceae
Description: partial small subunit ribosomal RNA
Source: RNAcentral